UCAAAUCCACACUUCCCUCCCACAGGAAAACUGGUGUCUUCAACUCCACCGUGACCUUUUCGGAAAGCUUUGACCCUUUCUGAGAGGGGAGAAGAGGAAGGCGGAGAGUCAAUCAAGGAUGUUAUAUGAAGGGCUUCUGAGAUAAAGAAUGGAAUUAAACAAUGAGAGUUGAUGUUUAAAUCUUUCCAAACUGAUGAAGGCAACAUAGGAAAUGAGAGAAUGGGAGGAGGUGUCAUGGAAGUCUCUACCGCCUUUUCUUGUCCAAGAAAGGCCAUUCACCCAGGAGGUGUCUUUGAUGAUCCACAAAGCGGCUCUGUGAACAGGUCUACUUCAUCCAGAUUUCAGCUCUCUGAGGUGGAGGUCUCCACUGCACCUGGGGCUCUGAGGACCAGCCAGGGCCAUCCACAAUUUUGAGCUCUCACGUGGAGUUCAGGAUCAGCCCCCAGGCAAUGAAGAGAGAAGGUGGCUUUAUUUCUUCAAUAGAUUCCUCAUAAACAUCAAAGUGCAUAAUUGAAGAAAAGGAAGAUGCACACACAGUGGGUCUAGGUAAACCAUGAGUAGGAGCACCUGGGCAUUAAAUAUUGGAACUUGGUAGAGUGGGCAGAGCUUAGUGGUUGAGUGACUACUUCCCAGGUACAAGGCUUACUGGAAAUUGGGGGGAGGGGAGAGGAAGGUUGUGAGCUGACGCCUACAUGGGUGAAAUCUAUGAUACAGUGGAGGUAAGCAGUCGUGCAGGGAAGGGAUAAAAUGGGGACACAGAGAUAUUAUUGGGUGGGGAUUUGUAGGCUUGAGCAGGGCUAGGGAUGUGAGGAUGGGUCAGAUGGUCCAAGGAAUUGGGGGGAAGGUUGGGAGGAGCACAUGAACAUGGGAGAUUGUUGAGUAUGUGGUUGAAAGUAUAAUGCUGCAAAAACUCUUUAGAAAAUAUAAUAGGGAAUGGUAGCUUGUUUAAGGUGUUUAAUGUGGAGUAUCUGGCACAGGGGCAGGCUUCUAGGGAGUGUGUGAGUGCUCACCUUGUCCUCCUGUGUUAUAUCAUGGGGUGGAGACCCAUACAAUGAGUAGGAAGGCGUACCCCCAUCCUGGGGAGCCUGAUGUUCUCAAACAGAGGGAAGGGUGUCUCUUGAGAGCACUGGUGGCUCCCAAAUGCAGGAGGACAAUCUAGUAUGUCAAGCCCUCAGCAUUGUGGCAAGUAUCUAUGAAUCUGGUCCAUCAAGCAGUGAAGCUGUGGGCCCUGAGGGGAGGGAAAGAGAAGAAUAGAAGAGAUAGAAGUGGGGUAUAACUGGGUGGCAAUGAAAGUGUUCCACAAGAUCAUGGAAUGAUGGAUAUUGGAC
RNAcentral lists this long non-coding RNA (1328 nucleotides) under Dasypus novemcinctus (nine-banded armadillo). RNAcentral describes it as "lncRNA (ENSDNOG00000052362.1)". Lineage: Eukaryota; Metazoa; Chordata; Mammalia; Cingulata; Dasypodidae. The record is from RNAcentral.